AAUCUGGUGGUUGUGGAGACGGGAUUUGUUGGUGGGUGUUCCUUGAGUGUAUGGAGCAGUCCUUUUGAUGGAGUCUUUAAUUUUGGGCGAAGUUUCUGGAAACCCAUCCUUUCACCAUCCCAAUUACUCUAAAGCUCGAGUCUCUGAAGCAUUUGAGAAAAAGCACAAAUUCAACAGGUAUAUAUUUAAUACGAAUGAAUGUAAAUGUGUGCCCCCCGCCCCAAAUCUCUCAGCAGUUUGCGUUUAACCUUAGACAAUUCCUCCUCCAUGUUAAGUCAGACCAGUACCGAGGUUCGUUUUUAAGUGACUACCUAGAAUAAAACAGAAUCUGGUAGAUAACAGAUACUGCAUUAGGAAUGCUGAUGUAAUGUGACUCCCGCGGAAGAAAUGGUUGGUCCUGGGAGAGCAGUAGAAAGCUGGGGGAUGUGAGGGUAAUACAAGACACAAAGAAGGCAGGCGAUUGGAGACUUGAGAAAACAGAUCCAGGGAAAAGAUGGGUAUGAUUUUGAGCGAGAGGCUGUAAAAGGAAAAGCAUUUUUAAAAGAAUGGGAAGCUUUGAAAAAUAAAAUGUCUGAGUUCACCGCAGAAUACUCCCAAUGAAGAAGAAAGGGAAUGGCAACCAAGGAAACCACUGUUCUCUAAUGAUCUCAGGUGAUCUCUAAUGAUCUCUAGUCAAAAGAUGGAGAGAGAAAGCAUUUGCUGAAGAAUGAAUUUUAAAAGGGACCAAAAUCUAUAAGAAUUGUGCCAGGAAAGCUAAGCUGCAGAACAAAGUGGGCUUGCAGAAAUACUUAGGUAGCGAAGGAAGCAAGAAGGUUGAGUAUUUUUUAAAAAUAGGCACCGAAGAGAAUAAUGAUGAUGGUAAAAGAAUAGACCUUCUAUUUAGGAAGUUGAGGUUAACAGAUGACAGAGGGAAGGGAGGGAAUCAACAUUUUUUGAGUUAUUGUUUUUGGGGAUCCUUUGCAUGUGUCUCUCAUUUAAUCCUUAGAGGAGCCGUGAAGAGACUCAUAUUAGUGCAAUUUUACAGAUCAGAAUCCCAGGCCUAGAGAAGUUAAUUUGCUUACGGUCACAAUUGAAAAGUAAAACUGAGAAGUAAACCCUGCUAAACUGGGCUCCAAGAGCCCAUUCUUUAUCUAAGAUUCCACAACAUUCUACUUCUAUUUUCUUUCCAUUUUUGCCAUUAGAAAAUGACCUUCACACACAAAAAUGAGAGAGAAAAAAAUUAGUAAGAGGAGCUUAAUGGGUGAAUCUUAUGGUAUGUAAAUUUUCCCUCAAUAAGGUUGUUAAAGAAAAAAAGAGGUGAAGGUCAAGACAAGUGACUAGGUUAUAUUGAAUGAGUUCUUGCCUUUAGACAAAGACAAAUUACAUUUCCAAUUUACUUCAUUUAUUCAUUCACUCAACAAAUAUUAAGAACCUACUGUGUGCUGGGUGCCGAGCUUGGAAAGUUUGGAAUUAGGCAUACAAAGAUGAACACA
Molecule: long non-coding RNA, 1472 nt
Filed under: Homo sapiens (human)
Lineage: Eukaryota; Metazoa; Chordata; Mammalia; Primates; Hominidae
Description: non-protein coding UCHL1-AS1:5
Source: RNAcentral